This 61-nucleotide microRNA precursor is filed under the name Gallus gallus (chicken). RNAcentral's name for it is "Gga-Mir-146-P1_pre stem-loop". Lineage: Eukaryota; Metazoa; Chordata; Aves; Galliformes; Phasianidae. The record is from RNAcentral.
UGAGAACUGAAUUCCAUAGGCGUUAAAGCAUCCAAAAAUGCCCUAUGGAUUCAGUUCUGCA